CCUACGGGAGGCAGCAGUGAGGAAUAUUGGUCAAUGGACGAGAGUCUGAACCAGCCAAGUAGCGUGAAGGAUGACUGCCCUAUGGGUUGUAAACUUCUUUUAUAUGGGAAUAAAAUGUUCCACGUGUGGGAUUUUGUAUGUACCAUAUGAAUAAGGAUCGGCUAACUCCGUGCCAGCAGCCGCGGUAAUAUGGAGGAUCCGAGCGUUAUCCGGAUUUAUUGGGUUUAAAGGGAGCGUAGGUGGAUUGUUAAGUCAGUUGUGAAAGUUUGCGGCUCAACCGUAAAAUUGCAGUUGAAACUGGCAGUCUUGAGUACAGUAGAGGUAGGCGGAAUUCGUGGUGUAGCGGUGAAAUGCGUAGAUAUCACGAAGAACUCCGAUUGCGAAGGCAGUUCACUGGACUGCAACUGACACUGAGGCUCGAAAGUGUGGGUAUCAAACAGGAUUAGAUACCCUUGUAGUC
This 460-nucleotide ribosomal RNA is filed under the name uncultured bacterium. RNAcentral describes it as "partial 16S ribosomal RNA". It matches the Rfam family "Bacterial small subunit ribosomal RNA", at positions 338 to 795 of the family's 1533-position model. The record is from RNAcentral.